CGGGGUGUAGCCCAGCAUGGAAGGGCGCGUGUUUUGGGAGCACGAGGUCGGAGGUUCAAAUCCUUCCGCCCCGA
RNAcentral lists this transfer RNA (74 nucleotides) under Armatimonadota bacterium. Its description in RNAcentral is "Armatimonadetes bacterium (marine sediment metagenome) tRNA-Pro". It matches the Rfam family "tRNA". From Rfam's summary of the family: Transfer RNA (tRNA) molecules are approximately 80 nucleotides in length. Their secondary structure includes four short double-helical elements and three loops (D, anti-codon, and T loops). Further hydrogen bonds mediate the characteristic L-shaped molecular structure. tRNAs have two regions of fundamental functional importance: the anti-codon, which is responsible for specific mRNA codon recognition, and the 3' end, to which the tRNAs corresponding amino acid is attached (by aminoacyl-tRNA synthetases). tRNAs cope with the degeneracy of the genetic code in two manners: having more than one tRNA (with a specific anti-codon) for a particular amino acid; and 'wobble' base-pairing, i.e. permitting non-standard base-pairing at the 3rd anti-codon position. RNAcentral also lists the same sequence under 1 other name. Lineage: Bacteria; Bacillati; Armatimonadota. The record is from RNAcentral.